ACUGGGCAUGGUGGCGCAUGCCUGUAAUCCCAGUAGCUCUGGAGGCUAAGGCAGGAAGAUCAUGAGUUCAAAGCCAGCCUCAACCCUAAGCAACUUAAUGAGACCCUUUCUUUA
This 114-nucleotide small RNA is filed under the name Marmota monax (woodchuck). Lineage: Eukaryota; Metazoa; Chordata; Mammalia; Rodentia; Sciuridae. The record is from RNAcentral.